Molecule: ribosomal RNA, 477 nt
Filed under: uncultured bacterium
Lineage: Bacteria
Description: bacterial SSU rRNA
Rfam family: Bacterial small subunit ribosomal RNA
Source: RNAcentral
GAUGAACGCUGGCGGCAUGCCUAAGACAUGCAAGUCGAACGAGACGACCUUUGGAAGACUGAGUGCUUGCACAAAGUUAGAAGAAGAUCAUCGUCUAGUGGCAGACGGGUGAGUAACACGUGGGUAACCUACCUUCAAGCUGGGGAUAACGUUUGGAAACGAACGCUAAUACCGAAUAAGAUAUAGCAAUAUAUUGAAAGAAGCCUUUAAAGCUUCACUUAAAGAUGGGCCUGCGGCGUAUUAACUAGUUGGUGAGGUAAUGGCUCACCAAGGUAACGAUGCGUAGCCGAACUGAGAGGUUGAACGGCCACACUGGGACUGAGACACGGCCCAGACUCCUACGGGAGACAGCAGUUAGGAAUAUUCGUCAAUGGGGGAACCCUGAACGAGCAAUAGCCGCGUGAGUGAUGAAGGCCCUAUGGUUGUAAAACUCUAGUCUUCAGUGACGAAUUAAUGACGGUAACUGAGGAGGAAGCC